GGGAGCUAGGCUAGCCAUGCAUGCCUCCGAAUAGAAGAGCAUUCUCUCUGAAUCUGCGAACGGCUCCGCAAACCAGUUGUAAACCAUAGCGAGCAUGUCUUUGGGCAAGCCGCAAGGUGAGCUCAGGGGCGAUAAGGAUAACCCUGGUAAUUCUGAGGCUAAUACAAGAACGUAAAACCUGGCUAACCAGCAAUGGGAGGUUGGGGGACGUGCGACAUAUGCAAAAGAUAAUCGGGAAUGGGUGCACGUUCAGACCGCCAUCCAAACGGUCGUGCUGCUUGCAGUGCGUCCGGGCGGCUCUCGCGUUGUGCUUCUGACCUAUCAACUAGAUGGCAGCGUAAGGGACAUGCUAUGGUGACAACGGGUACAGAAAC
This 374-nucleotide ribosomal RNA is filed under the name Physarum bivalve. Its description in RNAcentral is "SSU rRNA". It matches the Rfam family "Eukaryotic small subunit ribosomal RNA", at positions 47 to 369 of the family's 1831-position model. Lineage: Eukaryota; Evosea; Eumycetozoa; Physariida; Physaraceae. The record is from RNAcentral.